RNAcentral lists this long non-coding RNA (203 nucleotides) under Nicotiana benthamiana. Its description in RNAcentral is "long non-coding RNA (NBEN_LNC000101)". Lineage: Eukaryota; Viridiplantae; Streptophyta; Magnoliopsida; Solanales; Solanaceae. The record is from RNAcentral.
ACUGAAUGUCGGCCAAAAUUCCAUUGAGAAUGGAAAACAUGUCAAACAAAAAAAAAUAAAAAUAAAAAAAAAUAAUGGAAUGAAUGUCCGCCAAAUUCCAUUUAGAAUGGAAUUGGGUCAACUAAAUUGACAUGUUGGCUAAUUUCCAUUUAGAAUGGAAGACAUGUCGGCCAAACAAUUCUAUUCUAAAUGGAAUUGGUUCU